AUACGGAAGGUCCGGGCGUUAUCCGGAUUUAUUGGGUUUAAAGGGAGCGCAGGCGGAGAUGCAAGCGUGACGUCAAAUUUCGGGGCUCAACCCCGUCUCGCGUCGCGAACUGCGUCCCUUGGUUGCGGGAAGGGGAGGCGGAACUCGUGGUGGAGCGGUGAAAUGCAUAGAUAUCACGAAGAACUCCGAUCGCGAAGGCAGCCUUCCGGCCCGUCAACGACGCUCAUGCUCGAAGGUGCGGGUAUCAAACAGGAUUAGAUACCCUGGUAGUCCGCACAGUAAACGAUGGACACCCGCGGUUUGGCCUGUAUGGCUGAGCCGCCAAGCGAAAGCGUUAAGUGUCCCACCUGGGGAGUACGCCGGCAACGGUGAAACUCAAAUGAAUUGGCGGGG
This 393-nucleotide ribosomal RNA is filed under the name uncultured bacterium. Its description in RNAcentral is "partial 16S ribosomal RNA". It matches the Rfam family "Bacterial small subunit ribosomal RNA", at positions 523 to 918 of the family's 1533-position model. The record is from RNAcentral.